GUGAGUCAUCGAAUCUUUGAACGCACAUUGCGCCCUCUGGUAUUCCGGAGGGCAUGCCUGUUCGAGCGUCAUUUCAACCCUCAAGCCUGGCUUGGUGAUGGGGCACUGCUUCCGCGAGGGAGCAGGCCCUGAAAUCUAGUGGCGAGCUCGCCAGGACCCCGAGCGCAGUAGUUAAACCCUCGCUCUGGAAGGCCCUGGCGGUGCCCUGCCGUUAAACCCCCAACUUCUGAAAAUUUGACCUCGGAUCAGGUAGGAAUACCCGCUGAACUUAAGCAUAUCAAUAAGCGGAGGA
RNAcentral lists this unclassified non-coding RNA (292 nucleotides) under Diaporthales sp. Its description in RNAcentral is "partial contains 5.8S ribosomal RNA, internal transcribed spacer 2, and large subunit ribosomal RNA". The stretch from base 1 to 71 matches the Rfam family "5.8S ribosomal RNA", at positions 84 to 154 of the family's 154-position model. The record is from RNAcentral. Lineage: Eukaryota; Fungi; Ascomycota; Sordariomycetes; Diaporthales.